UUAGGAAUAUUCGUCAAUGGGGGAAACCCUGAACGAGCAAUGCCGCGUGAGUGAUGAAGGUCUUAAUGAUUGUAAAACUCUGUUGCAAAGGAAGAACAGCUAUCAUAGGUAAUGAUGAUAGUGUGACGGUACUUUGCCAGAAAGCCCCGGCUAACUACGUGCCAGCAGCCGCGGUAAUACGUAGGGGGCGAGCGUUAUCCGGAUUUAUUGGGCGUAAAGCGUUCGUAGGCGGUUUGUUAAGUCUGAGAUUUAAGCCCGAGGCUCAACCUCGGUUCGUUUCAGAAACUGGCAGACUUGAGUGUGGUAGAGGCAAGUGGAAUUUCUAGUGUAGCGGUUAAAUGCGUAGAUAUUAGAAGGAACACCAGUGGCGAAGGCGGCUUGCUGGGCCAUUACUGACGCUGAGGAACGAAAGCGUGGGGAGCAAAUAGG
This 429-nucleotide ribosomal RNA is filed under the name uncultured bacterium. Its description in RNAcentral is "bacterial SSU rRNA". It matches the Rfam family "Bacterial small subunit ribosomal RNA", at positions 355 to 776 of the family's 1533-position model. The record is from RNAcentral.